RNAcentral lists this long non-coding RNA (232 nucleotides) under Pelusios castaneus (West African mud turtle). RNAcentral's name for it is "lncRNA (ENSPCEG00000008303.1)". The record is from RNAcentral. Lineage: Eukaryota; Metazoa; Chordata; Testudines; Pelomedusidae.
UCUCAAUGUUCCUGAGGAAGCUUUUGCAAUCCUUUCAGUUCUGCAAUUCUGAUAGCUAGAACUGCAUACCGAGAGAGGCUGUAGCCACAGGCUAGGCGUGAACAUGACCUGAAAGCAGACCCAACAAACACCACACACCACUGCUCUUUGAAGGCUGCCAUUGGAGAGAUCACUGGGAAUCCAUUUCACUCUGAAUAAGAAGAAAGGACGAAGAGGGAAAUUCUGCCGUGGA